This 301-nucleotide ribosomal RNA is filed under the name uncultured bacterium. Its description in RNAcentral is "partial 16S ribosomal RNA". It matches the Rfam family "Bacterial small subunit ribosomal RNA", at positions 509 to 809 of the family's 1533-position model. The record is from RNAcentral.
CAGUAGCCACGGUAAUACGUAGGUCCCGAGCGUUGUCCGGAUUUAUUGGGCGUAAAGCGAGCGCAGGCGGUUAGAUAAGUCUGAAGUUAAAGGCUGUGGCUUAACCAUAGUACGCUUUGGAAACUGUUUAACUUGAGUGCAAGAGGGGGGAGUGGAAUUCCAUGUGUAGCGGUGAAAUGCGUAGAUAUAUGGAGGAACACCGGUGGCGAAAGCGGCUCUCUGGCUUGUAACUGACGCUGAGGCUCGAAAGCGUGGGGAGCAAACAGAAUUAGAUACCCCUGUAGUCCCUGUCUCUAUACAC